ACACUCCUGCGGGAGGCAGCAGUGGGGAAUUUUGGACAAUGGGCGAAAGCCUGAUCCAGCCAUGCCGCGUGCAGGAUGAAGGCCUUCGGGUUGUAAACUGCUUUUGUACGGAACGAAACGGCCUUUUCUAAUAAAGAGGGCUAAUGACGGUACCGUAAGAAUAAGCACCGGCUAACUACGUGCCAGCAGCCGCGGUAAUACGUAGGGUGCAAGCGUUAAUCGGAAUUACUGGGCGUAAAGCGUGCGCAGGCGGUUAUGUAAGACAGUUGUGAAAUCCCCGGGCUCAACCUGGGAACUGCAUCUGUGACUGCAUAGCUAGAGUACGGUAGAGGGGGAUGGAAUUCCGCGUGUAGCAGUGAAAUGCGUAGAUAUGCGGAGGAACACCGAUGGCGAAGGCAAUCCCCUGGACCUGUACUGACGCUCAUGCACGAAAGCGUGGGGAGCAAACAGGAUUAGAAACCCUGGUAGUCCC
RNAcentral lists this ribosomal RNA (472 nucleotides) under uncultured organism. RNAcentral describes it as "partial 16S ribosomal RNA". It matches the Rfam family "Bacterial small subunit ribosomal RNA", at positions 333 to 797 of the family's 1533-position model. The record is from RNAcentral.